RNAcentral lists this ribosomal RNA (1140 nucleotides) under uncultured Prochlorococcus sp. RNAcentral describes it as "bacterial SSU rRNA". It matches the Rfam family "Bacterial small subunit ribosomal RNA", at positions 56 to 1288 of the family's 1533-position model. Lineage: Bacteria; Bacillati; Cyanobacteriota; Cyanophyceae; Synechococcales; Prochlorococcaceae. The record is from RNAcentral.
UGCAAGUCGAACGAACCUUCGGGUUAGUGGCGGACGGGUGAGUAACGCGUGAGAAUCUGCCCUCAGGAGGGGGAUAACGGUUGGAAACGACCGCUAAUACCCCAUAUACCUACUGGUGAAAUGAAUUUCGCCUGAGGAUGAGCUCGCGUCUGAUUAGCUAGUUGGUGAGGUAAUGGCUCACCAAGGCUUCGAUCAGUAGCUGGUCUGAGAGGAUGAUCAGCCACACUGGGACUGAGACACGGCCCAGACUCCUACGGGAGGCAGCAGUGGGGAAUUUUCCGCAAUGGGCGAAAGCCUGACGGAGCAACGCCGCGUGAGGGACGAAGGCCUCUGGGCUGUAAACCUCUUUUCUCAAGGAAGAAGAUAUGACGGUACUUGAGGAAUAAGCCACGGCUAAUUCCGUGCCAGCAGCCGCGGUAAUACGGGAGUGGCAAGCGUUAUCCGGAAUUAUUGGGCGUAAAGCGUCCGCAGGCGGCUUUUCAAGUCUGCUGUUAAAGCGUGGAGCUUAACUCCAUCAUGGCAGUGGAAACUGAAAGGCUUGAGUAUGGUAGGGGCAGAGGGAAUUCCCGGUGUAGCGGUGAAAUGCGUAGAUAUCGGGAAGAACACCAGUGGCGAAGGCGCUCUGCUGGGCCAUUACUGACGCUCAUGGACGAAAGCCAGGGGAGCGAAAGGGAUUAGAUACCCCUGUAGUCCUGGCCGUAAACGAUGAACACUAGGUGUCGGGGGAAUCGACCCCUUCGGUGUCGUAGCUAACGCGUUAAGUGUUCCGCCUAGGGAGUACGCACGCAAGUGUGAAACUCAAAGGAAUUGACGGGGGCCCGCACAAGCGGUGGAGUAUGUGGUUUAAUUCGAUGCAACGCGAAGAACCUUACCAGGGUUUGACAUCCUGCGAACCUCUUAGAAAUUUGAGGGUGCCUUCGGGAUGCAGUGACAGUGUGCAUGCUGUCGUCAGCUCGUGUCGUGAGAUGUGGGUUAGUCCCGCACGAGCGCACCACGUUUUAGUGCAGCAUUAGUGGCACUCUAGAAGACGGCGUGAUAACGAGAGUGUGAUGACGUCAGUCAUCAUGCCCUACCUGGCUACAACGUACUAAAUGCUACGACAAGCAGCAAGCUCGGGAGCCUAGCAAUCCAUAUCUUGCU